Molecule: long non-coding RNA, 774 nt
Organism: Xenia sp. Carnegie-2017
Lineage: Eukaryota; Metazoa; Cnidaria; Anthozoa; Malacalcyonacea; Xeniidae
Exons: 4
Source: RefSeq, a predicted model, not a curated record
UUGCUAAAUCUGCGCUACAGGCGUACAAAAUGCUUAAAUCGGCUAGUACAAGCCAAGUGCAACAAAAGUGUGGUGGCGACGGAAUGGGAGAACGGAUAGAAAUUAUGGAAGUCGAUGAAAGAGAGCUUGGUAAGGAUACGGCUGGACAUGCAACUGACGAACUUUCGUGCAAAAUCGUUUCUGGUGUCAGUGAAUCUGAAAGUUGGGAGGAAACCGAUGAAAAGAUGAGAGCAUAGAGAUUGUGAGAGUUAAUGCAGUAAGUAAGACGAGUAAGGCUGCCUCUAUUUCAAACACCAGCCGUCUUAGCUAUCAAAGCUCGCUUGGAAGUUUUCUUCCUUCAAUUUUAUCAAGUGAGCAAGGCGACCUGCCAUUUGAUGUGGACGAACUUGCGGAAAAAAUUGCUACUAAGGUGGCACAAAAGUUGAGUGGUAACCCUAAAUCAGCCCAAUCAACAAGUUCAACAACUACAUACAAUCCCACAUCGAGUACCGCACUUCGAUCUUCCAAUUUGAUUGAGCUUGUGGAUGAAGUGGAAGAUUUUGAAAUACUAAAAGAAGAGAACAGCUGGGUGCUGCAGUGUCGAACGUGUGUCGAAUUUUUAAACUCUUCCCGUGUUUCCUUUUCGUCAUCUUUUAAUCGACCUACUGGCAAAGCAGACGGAUCUUUGGCAUCUGGUUUACAUAUGUCAGAUGCCUUGUAUGAACAGCUAAUUGCAGGCAAGUGUGAAAAAUGGUACAGCCAAAAGCAAGCGUGUCAUCGACAUCUUCUUUCUUU